AGCAGUCGCCACGGGAAUACGGAGGGGGCUAGCGUUGUUCGGAAUUACUGGGCGUAAAGCGCACGUAGGCGGCUUGGUAAGUUAGAGGUGAAAGCCUGGAGCUCAACUCCAGAAUUGCCUUUAAGACUGCCGAGCUAGCAGGUGAGAGAGGUAAGUGGAAUUCCGAGUGUAGAGGUGAAAUUCGUAGAUAUUCGGAAGAACACCAGUGGCGAAGGCGGCUUACUGGCUCAUACUGGACGCUGAGGUGCGAAAGCGUGGGGAGCAAACAGGAUUAGAUACCCCUGUAGUCCCUGUCUCUUAUAA
RNAcentral lists this ribosomal RNA (303 nucleotides) under uncultured bacterium. Its description in RNAcentral is "partial 16S ribosomal RNA". It matches the Rfam family "Bacterial small subunit ribosomal RNA", at positions 507 to 809 of the family's 1533-position model. The record is from RNAcentral.